This 74-nucleotide transfer RNA is filed under the name Flavobacteriaceae bacterium. RNAcentral's name for it is "tRNA-Met". It matches the Rfam family "tRNA". From Rfam's summary of the family: Transfer RNA (tRNA) molecules are approximately 80 nucleotides in length. Their secondary structure includes four short double-helical elements and three loops (D, anti-codon, and T loops). The record is from RNAcentral. RNAcentral also lists the same sequence under 10 other names. Lineage: Bacteria; Pseudomonadati; Bacteroidota; Flavobacteriia; Flavobacteriales; Flavobacteriaceae.
GGCGAGGUAGCUCAGGCGGUUAGAGCGCAGGAUUCAUAACCCUGAGGUCGGGAGUUCAAGUCUCCCUCUCGCUA